CAGCACCUCAAGUGGUCAGGAUGAUUAUUGGGCCUAAAGCAUCCGUAGCCGGCGCUGUAAGUUUUCGGUUAAAUCUGUACGCUCAACGUACAGGCAGCCGGGAAUACUGCAGCGCUAGGGAGUGGGAGAGGUAGACGGUACUCGGUAGGAAGGGGUAAAAUCCUUUGAUCUAUUGAUGACCACCUGUGGCGAAGGCGGUCUACCAGAACACGUCCGACGGUGAGGGAUGAAAGCUGGGGGAGCAAACCGGAUUAGAUACCCGAGUAGUCC
This 270-nucleotide ribosomal RNA is filed under the name uncultured archaeon. Its description in RNAcentral is "partial 16S ribosomal RNA". It matches the Rfam family "Archaeal small subunit ribosomal RNA", at positions 477 to 747 of the family's 1478-position model. The record is from RNAcentral.